AGGAAGAAUUUCUACAUAGAGACAAGUAAGUGUGAGUUAUGUGAUGAUGAACCUAAUGAACAUCUAAUGCACCUAACUUUUAGCUGUGAUUUCAGCCAAAACUUCUGGAUGAACAUUGGCUACCAAUGGGACACUGAUUAUAACCUGAUGAAAAUGCUCUUGGAGGGUAGGAAACAAGAUACUUAUGGAUGUUUUAAAGAGUGCCUAAUUGUUGGUUGCUGGAGUUUAUGGAAGCACAGAAAUAGCAUCAUUUUCGAUCACAAGGUCAAGAAUAUGGCAUACUGUAUAGCCAUGUUCAAGAAGCACUUCAGCAUGAUCAUAAAGAAGGCAAAACCUGGUUUGAAGGAGGGCAUGCAAAGCUGGCUAGACCAUUUGUAG
Molecule: ribosomal RNA, 378 nt
Filed under: Triticum aestivum (bread wheat)
Lineage: Eukaryota; Viridiplantae; Streptophyta; Magnoliopsida; Poales; Poaceae
Description: partial small subunit ribosomal RNA
Source: RNAcentral